CCGUGGGAAACUACGGCUAUUACCGCAUGAUACUNAGGGUCAAAGGCGCAAGUCGCCUUAGGAGGAGCCUGCGUCUGAUUAGCUUGUUGUGGGGUAAAGGCCUACCCAAGGGCUCCGAUCGGUAGCUGGUCUGAGAGGAUGAUCAGCCACAUUGGGACUGAGACACGGCCCAAACUCCUACGGGAGGCAGCAGUGGGGGAAUAUUGGACAAUGGGCGCAAGCCUGAUCCAGCAAUGCCGCGUGGGUGAAGAAGGUCUUCGGAUUGUAAAGCCCUUUUGGCGGGGACGAUGAUGACGGUACCCGCAGAAUAAGCUCCGGCUAACUUCGUG
RNAcentral lists this ribosomal RNA (329 nucleotides) under uncultured bacterium. RNAcentral describes it as "bacterial SSU rRNA". It matches the Rfam family "Bacterial small subunit ribosomal RNA", at positions 147 to 507 of the family's 1533-position model. The record is from RNAcentral.